CCGGGUGCGAGCGGCCGCGAGCCUCGACGUGCACCUAGCCUGGCGCCUGUUGUUGUUGCCGCCGCGGCGGUUGUUGUCGUCGUCGUGCUAACGCCACGCGGGGGAUCGUUGUGCCACGCAGAGACAGCGGCGGCGGCGGGCUGGACCAGCCGGGCCGCAGUCCUCGCCGCGUCCCUCGCCCUGGCGGCCACGCUGCUGCUGCUGCUGCUGCCGCUCUACCGCCGCCGGCGCCGGCGCCGGCUUGCGCCCCGGGGAGCCACGGAGGAGACCCCCACCCUCCCCAAGCCACCGCGGAGAAGCACGGAGUGCGACCUUGGCCAGUGGCUACCGCUAGGGAGUGACAUCGAGAAGGAUGAGGAGCUACACGAGUUGCAACCGCAGACUCAGCACCAAGACAGCGGAGAGGGCAACUACAACUACAGGCGUUUCAAGAACGAAGAUGACGACGAGGUGUGGGAUGAGAAGGUUUGAGAAGCGGGGGGGGGGGGGGGGGGUGGGAGGAGCCACGUGGGUGGGAGGAGCCACGUGGGGUGGCUCUGGGUGUGUGUGGGGCGCCGUGUUUUGGUUCUGAAUCUGAAUCUGCUCGCCUCAGCCACGUGCCCCGGGAUGUUUUGGCUGCAAGCGCUUCUCACUUUGGCGACGAUCGUGGUCGUGGUUGUUGUUGUUGUCUGACGCUCGCGUCCCCUCCACCGCCACAACAACAACAACCGCUCCACGUGUACGCGUUGUUGCUGCUUCUGUCGUUGUUGUUGUUAUUGUUGUUGUUAUUGUUGUUGUUGCGUGAUCACAACCGAGUGAUGUUCUUCAGCACCACCGGGGGGAUGUUUGGCUAAUGCCGGUUACAAUCGGUGCCCUGGGUUUGGC
Long non-coding RNA from Lethenteron reissneri (Far Eastern brook lamprey), 864 nucleotides. RefSeq lists it as uncharacterized. The record is from RefSeq and is a predicted model, not a curated record. NCBI's taxonomy places the organism in Eukaryota, Metazoa, Chordata, Hyperoartia, Petromyzontiformes, Petromyzontidae.